This is a non-coding RNA of Papio anubis (olive baboon), 87 nucleotides long. Lineage: Eukaryota; Metazoa; Chordata; Mammalia; Primates; Cercopithecidae. The record is from Rfam.
UUUCAUGCUGUGACCCUACAAAGGCAAGCACUUUCUGUUGUCUAAAAGAAAAGAAGGUGCUUCCCUUUGCAGUGUUACGGUUUGAGA